GCCGGGUGUGAUGGCACACACCUGUAAUCCCAGCUACUUGGGAGGCUGAGGCAGGAGAAUGGCUUGAACCCAGGAGUCGGAGGUUGCAGUGAGCCGAGAUCAUGCCACUGCACUCCAGCCUGGGUGACAGAGCAAGACUCUGUCUCAA
Molecule: signal recognition particle RNA, 148 nt
Filed under: Pan troglodytes (chimpanzee)
Lineage: Eukaryota; Metazoa; Chordata; Mammalia; Primates; Hominidae
Description: Metazoan signal recognition particle RNA
Rfam family: Metazoan signal recognition particle RNA
About the family: The signal recognition particle (SRP) is a universally conserved ribonucleoprotein. It is involved in the co-translational targeting of proteins to membranes. The eukaryotic SRP consists of a 300-nucleotide 7S RNA and six proteins: SRPs 72, 68, 54, 19, 14, and 9.
Source: Rfam by way of RNAcentral